CCCAGGGUGUUUGCUUCUCUUGGCCAAGGUCAGAUAGUUAAAAGUUAAUAGAUUGGAGACUUGAAUAGUACUGCAAAGCCAGUGCUCUCAACCUUUAUCCAGAAGCACAAAAUCAGAUGCAAACUGAAACCAGAGAGGUACACAGAAUUAAUGGAUCCAGCUGGGGGCAAUAAAGGAAGGGUUAUAAAACUGGAAAGCAGAUGCCCCAUCUAAAGGUACAGUUCCUGUUUGGCUCCAACUGAUCAAUCAUUUCCAUGAAGAAUAGGCACGUUGCAGAGCCAUGUCUUUGAUUUUCAACGAGAAGCAGAAAUCCUGCAUUGUUCAUACAAAUUUCCUGAUUUUUAAGUGCAGGCUACAAGUCCAUCACAACAGUCCUGGUUUUCAAGCCGACCUCGUAGACCUCAGGGCUAUGGCCGGUGCUCUUCUCUAAGUCCUCUUGAUAGAUCACAGCAGUGGCUCAGCCCAUCUGUAAAAGCCAUCGAAGAUCUUCCCAUCUAUUUCAGAGGCUGGGAACAUGAUGCAAGCCCUCCAGUGAGUGACAGCGAAGGUGACCCAUCCAUCUUCGAUUGCCUGGAACUUUCCUGAUUUCAAAAGGGUAAGUCUUAUGCUCUGGGAAUCUGCAGUCCCAGGCAAAGUGUGACAACUGGUCACCUCUUUAUAGCAGGGAAUGGGCUUCUGGCAUCUGCAAAGCUCUGGAAGGUCAACCAACCAGACCUUCAGAAUGUGUCCUUUCAGGGGAAUUUUGCUAUCCUUAGAGGUGCUAAUUUGCUAAAGCGUCUGUGUCUCCACUUCAAAAAUUAAACUGCCUCAGAUGCCAGGGAGCGACGUUCCCUAGGACAGCCCCCAAAAGCAAGUUUCCUAGAAACUCUCUGCAAUGGGGCGAGAAGGGCACCGGAAGAGCAGCGGACGUCCUGGAGAAAGCUGCUGGUGGUGAUUCGGCAGAGAAUCCUAAUUCGAAUCCAGUGGGAGCUCGCCAUUAUCGGGGCGCACACGGCUCCAGAUGUGAGGCUGCCCCUUACUGCUCGGAAGUGAAUGUGAUGGCUGGAGCCCCAACAGCCAUCUUUGCCAAUGAGGACAAGAGCCAUAUUAGAGCGAGUCCUGCUGGUGGCGCGAUUAGGACCUGACUACUGCUUGGGUUUGGAAGAUGCAGGCAAACAUAGAG
This 1162-nucleotide long non-coding RNA is filed under the name Callithrix jacchus (white-tufted-ear marmoset). RNAcentral describes it as "lncRNA (ENSCJAG00000070860.1)". The record is from RNAcentral. Lineage: Eukaryota; Metazoa; Chordata; Mammalia; Primates; Cebidae.